UACGUAGGGACCGAGCGUUGUCCGGAUUCAUUGGGCGUAAAGAGCUCGUAGGCGGCCACUCAAGUCGAAUGUGAAACCUCGAGGCUUAACCUCGAGCCUGCAUUCGAUACUGGGCGGCUAGAGUCUGGUAGGGGGAUCUGGAAUUCCUGGUGUAGCGGUGGAAUGCGCAGAUACCAGGAGGAACACCGGUGGCGAAGGCGGGUCUCUGGGCCGUAACUGACGCUGAGGAGCGAAAGCGUGGGGAGCGAACAGG
Molecule: ribosomal RNA, 253 nt
Filed under: uncultured bacterium
Lineage: Bacteria
Description: partial 16S ribosomal RNA
Rfam family: Bacterial small subunit ribosomal RNA
Source: RNAcentral